UACGUAGGGACCAAGCGUUGUCCGGAAUCAUUGGGCGUAAAGAGCGUGUAGGCGGCUCGGUAAGUCCGCUGUAAAAGUCAAAGGCUCAACCUUUGAAUGUCAGUGGAUACUGCCGGGCUAGAGUCCGGAAGAGGCGAGUGGAACUCCUGGUGUAGCGGUGGAAUGCGCAGAUAUCAGGAAGAACACCAACGGCGAAGGCAGCUCGCUAGGACGGUACUGACGCUGAGACGCGAAAGCGUGGGGAGCGAACAGG
Molecule: ribosomal RNA, 253 nt
Filed under: uncultured bacterium
Lineage: Bacteria
Description: partial 16S ribosomal RNA
Rfam family: Bacterial small subunit ribosomal RNA
Source: RNAcentral